AUUUAAUAAAACAAAAAGGGAUAGAGAGAACAAAGAACAAAUAAAUAAACCCACCAGGCUCCUUUAUCUUUUCCAUCUCUUCCCUUUCUCUUUCUCUGCAACUCUCUUGUUUGAUGUGAUUCUCCACCAUAUCUCUAAGAACCCAUCAAACUUUACAAAAAGAUAGAAAUCUCAAUUACAACCAUGGUUUUCUCAUCCAUUCCUGUCUAUCUAGAUCCACCCAACUGGCAGCAGCAAUCAAAUCAGCAACCUGUAGGAGGCAACAUUGAGAACUCGCAGCUUCAACUACCGCCGCUACCUAGUUUAGCUGGCGGCUAUGGCGGUAGUGGCCCAGGCUCCAUCAGACCUGUUUCGAUGGCGGAGCGAGCUCGAAUGGCUAAGAUUCCUCCACUUGAAUCAACCCUAAAAUGUCCAAGAUGUGAUUCUACAAACACUAAAUUUUGUUACUUCAAUAACUAUAGCCUUUCACAGCCUCGCCACUUUUGCAAGACUUGUCGCCGAUACUGGACUAGAGGUGGUGCACUAAGAAACGUACCAGUCGGAGGUGGCUGUAGAAAAAACAAAAGAAGUAAAGCAAGCAGCAGAUCGAAAUCACCUGCUGUAACUGGGGGUCAAUCCGGCGGGUCUACCUCAUCUACUACACCUGCUUCUACUCGUCGCAUAGCUGAUAUCAUCGGCCACAUGCCACUUCCUCCCUCACAAUUACCCAUUUUGUCCCCUUUACAUCAUCUUAGUGGCUACAAUUCGGGGAGUAUUGGUUUGAAUUUUGGAGGAAUUCAAGCUCCUGGGGUGGCAACUGUUACUGGUGGUGGUAAUAGUGGAAAUAAUGAUAUUGAAUUUCAAGUUGGUGCUGCUUCAGGUGGUUGUGCUGGUGGUUCUUCUUUAUUAUCAGGUGGGCUUGUUGAGCAGUGGAGAUUGCAACAGGUGCAGCAAUAUCCUUUCAUUACUGGCAUGGAACCAACGACUUCUUUAUAUCAGUUCGAGAGUGAGGGCACGGUGGCGCCUAGUAGUUAUGUUGCCCAGCUUCGGGCAAAGCCAGUGGAUUCUGGGACGACUCAAUCGAUAAAUGUGAAAAUGGAACAAAAUCAAGGGAUAAAUUUAUCACGAAAUUUUUUGGGAAUGUCAGGAAAUGAUCAAUAUUGGAAUACCAGCAAUGCAUGGACAGAUGUCUCUGGAUUCACUUCAUCUUCUACCGGCCAUCUCUUAUGAUUUUUUUGUUUAUCUCAAUAGUUCUCUCAGAAAGAAACUCCACUCAUCCCUCGUGAUUUAUUAUUAUUUUUCUUCUUUCAGUAAGGCCCUACCUCUCAAGAUCAAACCACUAAAGAUCUUAAGAAGUUGACAUGGAAAUUGGAUAUCAAUGAAAGAAAUUUAGAACGAUGUUCAUCGUGAGGGAAAUAAAGCAAACAAGAAGCCAAGAAGAAUCUUGGAUCAUGGAUCAUAUACAGUUGAAGAGUUUCUCUCAUCUCAUAAACCUUGUUUAUUUGCAGCAUUCUAAGAGAAGAGCUCAUGUCAUUUAUCAAAGCCUCUGCAAAACAACAAAAGAGAGUUCAGUCUUCAUCCUUGACAUUUUGCAGAUGGCCCCCAUAAGAUAGAGCUAGCUUAACAACGUACCCUUUAAUAAUUGGGCGCACGCCUUGCUUCUUUUGGCCAAUACACUUAGCAGCUCUUGUGUCAUCAACACACACUCAGUUCCUUUAAUCAUCCAAUGGGCAAUUUCAGAUUCCAAUGUAACUCUUAGUCUGGCAUUGUUUUAGGAUAAUUUACCUGAGCUUAGUUAUUUUUCACAUAUGCUUGAUUACUACAGAUUUUAAUUCGAGAGAGAGAGAGAGACAAAAAACAUAAUGGUGAGUAUGAAUUUUCAAUUACAUGACUAUCGGCUUAAGAGAUGCACUUAUUUGUUGCUUUGUUGCCUCGGGUGACGAAAAUGAUUGUGUAAUUAUAGGAAAUUUGACCAAAUCAGAUGUACUUAUUUGUUGUUUGUGCAGUGCAAAAUCAGAAUGUUUGUAUGUUGAGAUGGACAAGAAGACUGAAGACGCCGCUAAAGAAACGCCAAAAUGCCACUAAAAACCAUGCAAAAGAAGCCACAUCGUUGGAUUCUCCAAAUUUAUUUGUUUGCAAAUUUCAAACGUAAGACCAGAUCAACACAAGAGUCAAAAGUUGCUUCACUAGAAGAACAAAAUUAUCUGACUUUUUUAACCUUCUGUUUGAUAUUGGUUCCCUUGUUUACACACAGACACACAGACACACAGACACACUCAUAUAUGCAUAAAUUAUCGCAAAAAAUUUCAGCCCAUUUCUUCAUAUUUGUGAUCAUGAUGUCACUGGAAUACCUCUUAUUGGUUAACAGCAUAUUAAAUGAGAGACUGGAAUCUGAUUUUUUGGAUCCGCUUUUGCAAU
RNA transcript from Mangifera indica (mango), 2397 nucleotides. It is a transcript of the gene named dof zinc finger protein DOF3.6-like, with no coding region annotated. NCBI's taxonomy places the organism in Eukaryota, Viridiplantae, Streptophyta, Magnoliopsida, Sapindales, Anacardiaceae. The record is from RefSeq and is a predicted model, not a curated record. The transcript is spliced from 4 exons.